This 755-nucleotide ribosomal RNA is filed under the name Cellulosimicrobium sp. RNAcentral's name for it is "bacterial SSU rRNA". It matches the Rfam family "Bacterial small subunit ribosomal RNA", at positions 84 to 852 of the family's 1533-position model. The record is from RNAcentral. Lineage: Bacteria; Bacillati; Actinomycetota; Actinomycetes; Micrococcales; Promicromonosporaceae.
UGGGCGGAUUAGUGGCGAACGGGUGAGUAACACGUGAGUAACCUGCCCUUGACUUCGGGAUAACUCCGGGAAACCGGGGCUAAUACCGGAUAUGAGCCGUCCUCGCAUGGGGGUGGUUGGAAAGUUUUUCGGUCAGGGAUGGGCUCGCGGCCUAUCAGCUUGUUGGUGGGGUGAUGGCCUACCAAGGCGACGACGGGUAGCCGGCCUGAGAGGGCGACCGGCCACACUGGGACUGAGACACGGCCCAGACUCCUACGGGAGGCAGCAGUGGGGAAUAUUGCACAAUGGGCGAAAGCCUGAUGCAGCGACGCCGCGUGAGGGAUGAAGGCCUUCGGGUUGUAAACCUCUUUCAGCAGGGAAGAAGCGCAAGUGACGGUACCUGCAGAAGAAGCGCCGGCUAACUACGUGCCAGCAGCCGCGGUAAUACGUAGGGCGCAAGCGUUGUCCGGAAUUAUUGGGCGUAAAGAGCUCGUAGGCGGUUUGUCGCGUCUGGUGUGAAAACUCGAGGCUCAACCUCGAGCUUGCAUCGGGUACGGGCAGACUAGAGUGCGGUAGGGGAGACUGGAAUUCCUGGUGUAGCGGUGGAAUGCGCAGAUAUCAGGAGGAACACCGAUGGCGAAGGCAGGUCUCUGGGCCGCAACUGACGCUGAGGAGCGAAAGCAUGGGGAGCGAACAGGAUUAGAUACCCUGGUAGUCCAUGCCGUAAACGUUGGGCACUAGGUGUGGGGCUCAUUCCACGAGUUCCGUGCCGCAGC